CCUACGGGUGGCAGCAGUGAGGAAUUUUGGUCAAUGCCCGGAAGGCUGAACCAGCCAAGUCGCGUGAGGGACGACUGCCCUAUGGGUUGUACACCUCUUUUAUAAGGGAAGAAUAAAUUCUACGUGUAGCAUGAUGACUGUACCUUAUGAAUAAGCAUAGGCUAACUCAGUUCCAGCAGCCGCGGUAAUACGGUGGAUGCGAGCGUUAUCCGGAUUUAUUGGGUUUAAAGGGUGGGUAGGCGGUUUUUUAAGUUAGUGGUUAAACGUCGGGGUUUCACCUUGAUUUGCCAUUAAUACUGUAAGACUCGAGUUCAGACGAGGUAGGCGGAAUAAGUGAAGUAGCGGUGAAAUGCUUAGAUAUAACUUAGAACUCCGAUAGCGAAGGCAGCUUACCAGACUGCGACUGACGCUGAAGCACGAGAGCGUGGGUAGCGAACAGGAUUAGAUACCCCGGUAGUC
RNAcentral lists this ribosomal RNA (459 nucleotides) under uncultured bacterium. RNAcentral's name for it is "partial 16S ribosomal RNA". It matches the Rfam family "Bacterial small subunit ribosomal RNA", at positions 338 to 795 of the family's 1533-position model. The record is from RNAcentral.